Molecule: transfer RNA, 70 nt
Filed under: Klebsiella pneumoniae
Lineage: Bacteria; Pseudomonadati; Pseudomonadota; Gammaproteobacteria; Enterobacterales; Enterobacteriaceae
Description: tRNA-Arg
Source: RNAcentral
GCAGUGCGAGGCAUAAUCGAGUCGGCUACGAACCGAGCGGUCGGAGGUUCGAAUCCUCCCGGAUGCACCA